Molecule: long non-coding RNA, 541 nt
Organism: Myotis lucifugus (little brown bat)
Lineage: Eukaryota; Metazoa; Chordata; Mammalia; Chiroptera; Vespertilionidae
Exons: 3
Source: RefSeq, a predicted model, not a curated record
CGCCCGGCGGAGCUGCCCUCCGCCACGCCUUGCUGGUCUUUUCAGAGGCAGCCUUCGCUGCCUGCUAACAUUUCUGAACCCCUGUGCCCUUAAGAAAGUUUAUAAUACGUGACUCCUGCAGGCUUAGAGAGCAACUCCGAAAAUUCAGCUGCGGCGCCAUCUGCUGGACGCUCCGCGACGUUGCAAGGCCCUGCCCCGGGAAGGGGAGAUCGCGUUGCAGGUGAAGGCCCAGCAUUUGCCGGGGAAAGACUGGCACCAAGGUGUCCUCUUAGGAAAACCUGGGGCUUUGGAGGAGGCCUAAUUCAUCUCAUGACAGCAGCAGGACUGAAAACUAAAACUGUAUUUUCCAUCACUGUACACAGAGAAGUAUCAGGAACAGAAGUUACAAGGUGUUUGUUCCCCUGAAUGGAACUGAGUUUGCUGAAUGGAAGGAAUUUUAAAAGUGAAGAGGGUGACAGAAAUGAAGUUAAUCUGGGAGUGGGGAGGUGCUAAAAUGUGGCCUUGGCCGUGUUUGUUAUAAAGUCACUAAGUCCUGCUACCA